Molecule: transfer RNA, 91 nt
Filed under: Plicaturopsis crispa FD-325 SS-3
Lineage: Eukaryota; Fungi; Basidiomycota; Agaricomycetes; Amylocorticiales; Amylocorticiaceae
Rfam family: tRNA
About the family: Transfer RNA (tRNA) molecules are approximately 80 nucleotides in length. Their secondary structure includes four short double-helical elements and three loops (D, anti-codon, and T loops).
Source: Rfam by way of RNAcentral
GGCACUGUAGCCAAGUGGUUACGGCGACAGAUUAGAAUCAUUCAAUAUCUGUUCCUCUUUGAGGGCGUAGGUUCGAAUCCUGCCAGUGUCG